This 684-nucleotide unclassified non-coding RNA is filed under the name Trichophyton concentricum. RNAcentral describes it as "sequence contains 18S rRNA gene, ITS1, 5.8S rRNA gene, ITS2, 28S rRNA gene". The stretch from base 292 to 445 matches the Rfam family "5.8S ribosomal RNA". The record is from RNAcentral. Lineage: Eukaryota; Fungi; Ascomycota; Eurotiomycetes; Onygenales; Arthrodermataceae.
UCGUAACAAGGUUUCCGUAGGUGAACCUGCGGAAGGAUCAUUAACGCGCAGGCCGGAGGCUGGCCCCCCACGAUAGGAAUCAACGUUCCAUCAGGGGUGUGCAGAUGUGCGCCGGUCUUACGCCCCAUUCUUGUCUACCUUACUCGGUUGCCUCGGCGGGCCGCGCUCUCCUGGGAGAGUCGUCCGGCGAGCCUCUUUGGGGGCUUUAGCUGGAUCGCGCCCGCCGGAGGACAGACAUCAAAAAAUCUUGGAAAGCUGUCAGUCUGAGCGUUAGCAAGUAAAAUUAGUUAAAACUUUCAACAACGGAUCUCUUGGUUCCGGCAUCGAUGAAGAACGCAGCGAAAUGCGAUAAGUAAUGUGAAUUGCAGAAUUCCGUGAAUCAUCGAAUCUUUGAACGCACAUUGCGCCCUCUGGUAUUCCGGGGGGCAUGCCUGUUCGAGCGUCAUUUCAACCCCUCAAGCCCGGCUUGUGUGAUGGACGACCGUCCGACCUCCUCUUUCGGGGGCGGGACGCGCCCGAAAAGCAGUGGCCAGGCCGCGAUCCCGGCUUCCUGGGCGAAUGGGCAGUCAAACCAGCGCCCUCAGGACCGGCCGCUCUGGCCUUCCCCCAAAUCUCUCUGAGAUAUUUUUUCAGGUUGACCUCGGAUCAGGUAGGGAUACCCGCUGAACUUAAGCAUAUCAAUAA